RNAcentral lists this ribosomal RNA (622 nucleotides) under Candidatus Saccharimonadota bacterium. Its description in RNAcentral is "partial 23S ribosomal RNA". It matches the Rfam family "Bacterial large subunit ribosomal RNA", at positions 1 to 517 of the family's 2925-position model. Lineage: Bacteria; Candidatus Saccharimonadota. The record is from RNAcentral.
AAAAAGGUACUCAAGGGCACACAACGGAUGCCUAGACGUAUAUUACCGAUGAAGGACGUGGAAGACUGCGAUAAGCUUCGGGUAGCUGUCAACAAGCGCCAAUCCGAAGAUCUCCGAAUGGGGAAACCCGGCACGAGUCAUGUCGUGUCACCUGCUUCUGAAUAAAAUAGGAAGUUUGGCGGGAACCACCUGAACUGAAACAUCUUAGUAGGGUGAGGAAGAGAAAAUAAAAAAUGAUUCCGGAAGUAGUGGCGAGCGAAACUGGAAUAGCCCAAACCUUUUAAGUUUCUAUUUAUAGAUAAGCUGAUAGGCGAAUACUUAUAAGGGGUUGUGAAAUUACAUACGACCAAGUCAGAGCGUUUAAAGCAAUUUAAACUAUCUGAUUUGCGACCAAAAUCUAUCAAUUUUGGAUAAGGUAAGAAAACUGCGUGGUUAGCAGAAUAGUUUGAAUGACUAACCAAAGGACGUGAAAGUCGUGUACGCGAAAACGACGCAGACCUUAUAUAUGUUUUUUCGAGUAGGGCGGGGCACGAGAAACCCUGUCUGAAUCCGGCUGGACCACCAGCCAAGGCUAAAUAUAAUAUACGAUCGAUAGUGAACUAGUACAGCGAUGGAAAGGUGA